AGCACAGGAGGGUGGAAAUGUCCAGCCACUUCACGUCUGGAUGUGUCCCCUGAGGCUGGACCCGUGAGCCAGGAAUGAAUGAGUGAGUGGACUCUGGGGACCUGGCCUCAGGCCCUGUGCCCGUGUUCGGCUGCCCAGCACAGGGCUUUGCAGGCCUUAGCAUGUGUCAGGCAGCCGGGCUGCUGGAGCCCACCCCAGAGAGUGCGAUCCCGGGUCUGGCGGGGAGGGGGGAGUCCAAAUUCUCCAGGAGCUUCCCACUGCAGCGGCAGGGGCUGCCUGGACCCUCCCGUGUGCCCGCAGGGCCCAGGAGAGGGAGCCCCUAUCCUCAGGAACCCCACGGAAAGAGGGCACCACCCAGGAGGAAGCUGCCCUGGGGCCGUGUGCACCCCCUUCCUGCUCCGGGGGCCGACAGCCUCAGUACACAAGUGGCAGCAGGCAGCAGGCAGGCAGUGUGGGCCUCUGAGACAGAGGAAAACCCACUACGCCCACUCCAGGGCCACGCGGGUUCCACCCAGACCCUGGGCCCCCGCAGGUGCACACAGCCUCAGACACUCCCCGGCGCCCUCUCCCUCCUCAGCUCUCCUGCUGCCACCGCUGCUCUUCCUCCUCCACCUGCUCCUCUCCUCUCUCUCUCUCUCUCUCUCUCUCUCUCUCUCUCUCUCACACACACACACACACACACACGUGCCACCUGCAGCCCACGGCACAGAAAGCUCUGUCCUCUUUCAAUCCCCUCACCCCAACCCCUCCAACCAAGCCCUCUCCACAAAGGCACAUCUGCGUCGACCCACUCAUGUCCACACUCACGUCACACGUGCACACACAUGCACAUGUGUGUACACACAUGCACACGCGUGCACACACGCCCCGGCCACCCCGGCCCUCAACCUUCUCCAAGAGUUCUGGCACCGCGGGGCUGACCCCUCACGCCCGGCAGCCCAGGUGCCCUCCCUCCUCCACGCCUUGUGAGGAGCCUGGCUCAUCCUGGAAGUGAAUGUGGCACUCCC
Molecule: long non-coding RNA, 1007 nt
Filed under: Oryctolagus cuniculus (rabbit)
Lineage: Eukaryota; Metazoa; Chordata; Mammalia; Lagomorpha; Leporidae
Description: lncRNA (ENSOCUG00000032053.1)
Source: RNAcentral